Long non-coding RNA from Passer domesticus (house sparrow), 19245 nucleotides. RefSeq lists it as uncharacterized. The record is from RefSeq and is a predicted model, not a curated record. NCBI's taxonomy places the organism in Eukaryota, Metazoa, Chordata, Aves, Passeriformes, Passeridae. The transcript is spliced from 23 exons.
AAGCUAUGGGGACACUCCGCCAUUUUGUGUGGGGCUGUGGGGUCAGUCUGCCUAUUUAUGUCAGGCUGUGCAGGCAGACUGCCAUUUUGUGUCAGGCUAUGGGGACACUCCGCCAUUUUGUGUGGGGCUGUGGGGUCAGCCCACCAUUUUGUGUGGAGCUGUGGGACACUCUGCCAUUUGUCUAAGUCUGUGCUCUCACUCCGCCAUUUUGUGUCAGGCUGUGGGGUCAGACCGCCAUUUUGUGUGAGGCUGUGGAAUACUCCACCAUUUUGUGUCAGGCUGUGAGACAUUCUCUGCUUUUGUGUCAGGCUGUGGGACACACCUCCAUUUUGUAGGAGCCCUGGCCUGGAGGAUUGGGUGGCUCAAGGGGCCCAGCAGAGCUCUCCAGCUGAUCCCAGCGCUGCUGAAGCCGUCGCUGCCUCAGCUGGGUGGAGCCGUGACUCCAGCUUUUUCUGUCAUGUCCUGAGUUAUUCAACUUGAGCACUCUCAAAAUUGACAUAUCUGGAUUUCCUGCCAAAAUGCUUCUGGGGCCAGGAGUUUGCAGCUUGUGUUUGCCCUGUGGAAGCAGGGAGGAGUUCCCAGGCAGGGUCUGACUCCAUGCUGGAACAACACCAAGGUGGGGAAGUCAGAUCCCCUGAAACUGGGAUGCACAAUUUUUUCAGAAUGAGCCUUGUCUAAAGCUAAGUUUAGAACAUCAGAUGACUCUUAGCAGAUGUGAAAUGCUUCUGGAAGCCAAACAGUAGUUCUGUUCAUACUCUCUGGACCACCCUGUUUGUCCAUCAUGGCUGUGCCACCCUGCACUGCAGUGGUCUUCUCACCCAGGAGAGCCUGACCCUGGCCAAGAGGAUCAAGAAGCUCUGAAGAGCCUGAUCCAGGGGACACAGGGAGCCUUCAGGCCUCUGUCACCUUCCAGCUCAGCUGCCUCAGGAGUGAAAUCAAAUAAAGCAGAUUUUUCUUCAGACAAGUUCCUUUCAGUGGAGCAGAACCAAGAACGUGCACAUCUGAUCCCCACGUGCUGACCCAAAGCAAUGAUGUUGCCUGGCUAGUGGAAAAGGAUGAAAUGGUCCCCAGGACCUGUCCCUGCUCUCCGUGGGUCCUUCUGCACCAGCAAACUCCAGAGGGCGCCUGAGUCCAGAGCUCUGGAGUGCAAUCAGCUCUUUGUAAGAGUGACUGAAAGAAGGCAGAGAACAAACACUGCCAGUUCCCCUCACUGUCAUCAACACUGAAGUACUUUGCUGAAGCAACAUGUUAAGAGGCUGGGACUGGACAUUUAAAGACUUAAAAGUUACUGAGUUUUCUGCCCAAGUUGAUGUGGGAAAAGAUGUAGAAGAUAAUUCUGGUGUCUCACAUGUUCUCAAGAGCUCAGUAAGAGAUGGAAAAACUUCAGAAAUAGAAAUCUAAAAUGAGGUUCAGUGCCCAGUGCUGCAGUAUUGCCUUGGAGAUGCCUCCUUUUGGCUUUUGUGCCUUGUUUCAUGGGGAGCCUCUCAACAGAGUGGAUUUAACUUGGGGUGAUCCUCUGAGCUUCCCUCCCAGCCUGGUGCUCCAUGGAGGUGGGCUGGGCUAAGGGAUUACAGCAAACUGUAUUGAGCUUCCAGAGCAAGGAGAGAAAGGCAGCAGGUGGGAGGCUGCACCAUGUGGAACCCGGAAUAUCUGGUUCAGUGCUGUGCCUGUCUCCCAUUUAUACUCAAAACAUCAGCUUUUCUUGGAGAACAUUUGGUAAAAUCUCCCUUCAUUGCUUUAAGCCAAUUCCCAUGAGGAAACUACUGCUUCAGAUCCAUGUGAAAUUAUUCAGAUUAGAGAAAAACAAAGUUGUCAACAUUUGUGUGCAGAACAAAAUACUGCAUUGCAAUUAUAACUGUGGGACAAGGCAAAUUCCAACAGCAACGAAUACAUUGUCAUUCUAAUAUUUUCCCCAGCAUUUCCAGUUUUAAUAGAGUAUUCUCUGGUCCAGAAGACUAAUUUCUUUUGUAAGAAAAAUUAUUAAUGUUACUGAAUUCAGUCACCAGGUCUGUCUUACCACAGCAGAUGAAUGCUUGUCAUGGAAGUACAAAACAUGGCUGACAAAAACAAGAUCUUGAUUUGUGUCCCCAUUUCAACAGCUGUAAGUCAAUGUGAUAUUGUAAAAAAAAGGUGAGAGAACAGCCUUUCUAAUGAUAGGGUUAAGGGUUAUUUAGGGAAAAAAAUCGAGCCAAACAACUACGUUUUGUCUCAUGUUUGCAAGUAUAGAAAACAUGUCUGCUGUAAAUCAUAAACCAAACAGCCAGAGUUAUCUGCAGCAACAGGAUCUUUCACAAUCUUCUGAGGCUCCCUGAAUUACAAAUUCUCUGCAGUUGCAUUGUCUUCUGAUUCAAUUGCACAGAUUAAUGUGACCCAUUCCUCUUAUGUGCAUCAGUUUUACUGCAUUGUAUGUAUCAUGAGCAUGGCUUGUGGUGGAAAAGGGAGUUGCACUGCCACAGGAUGAGAGUGAAAAAACAUAAUUGAGAGACAAGUCAUGAACAUCCUUUAUUAUGGCCUAACAGCCAUGCUAAUAGUCUGCCUUCACAUUUAUCCAUAAAAGGCACUUUAAGAAGCAGUGUCUCACAAAAUAAAUCUAAUUUUGACAUUAGGAUGCUGUUAUAACCUACACAGCCUGUAGAUGACAUAAAAUGGUUGUCUGCCAUACACUCAACUGAGAGACACAAACACAGCCCUGACUGGGGGGAGGCAUCAAAAACCAGGGCUUCUAGUGCUGGGCUGACUUUUUGUACCCAGAGGAACAAUAUAUUUCCACCUAAGAGCUGUUCACCUUUGUUUGCAGUAGGGAUAUUAUUAAUAUAUAAAUGGUGACCAGAGAUUUUCACCCAGAUUGUACAUGUGCAGAACUCCAUACAUGAAGCUGGAACAUCUGUCUCCUGGAAAUGUGGCCCAGGAAAGGGAGAGAACCUGUGUAAAUAUGAACCUCACACCUGCACUGCAGAAAGGCACCUUCUACCUGUCCUUCCACCCAACUGUUCCUCACCCAAGGAGUCCUUUUUGUGCUGUUUUCAGUGCUCAUGGAAACAGAAAAACUAAAACUCGUGUGUGAAAUUUCCUUCCAAGGAACUAACUGCAGAUUGCAGUGGUUAUUGGUACUAGUAUCUCAAGUCUAAUCAGGGAAAAUUAGGAGCAAACAUUUACUUUGCAUCCUACAAUCUGUGUUUGGGCUUGAAAACAAUAACUUUUUUUUUCUUUUUGUUACUGAUUUUCAUUUUCUUGAUUUUGUUUUUUGUUUAAAGAAAAUAAUGGGAAAAGGAAAUCCAUCUCAAGAAAGAGAAAAGCUGUCCUGUCACCGUGGGUUUGGAGAAUGAAAGGUGGAGUCCAGGGAAAUCUCUCUCCACUUCCUGAGAGACACCAAGAGGUGCUCCUGUCCUGCUGCUGCUGAAGCCAGUGAAAGAGGUUCCCUUGCUCAGAGGUCAGUGUAAUACCACGAUGAGAAUGAAUGCCUUUAAUAUCUCCCACCUGAUGCAUUGUUGAAGUCCUCCACAGUUCAUGUGCACAGCACAGCUCCCAGAUGAAUUGGGAUGAGCUUGCUGAGCCAGCUGGCAGAGCACGGAGUCACUUUGGCCUAAGGUCUUUCACUGCUGGAAGGAAGGAUGCACAGAAUUCAGAGGCAGGAGGUGCCUGUGUAGAUGGGAUUGUUCUCCCAAAGAGAUUUGGCUGUUCCUGCAGGCUACAGGUGAAGGUGGCAUUGUCCUUCUCCAAUUCCUAACAGCAUCUGGAAGAGUGAAGCCUGGAUGGUUUCACCUCUGUGCCAGGCAGCAGCCCCAGUGGUGAGGCACAGGUAACUGGAGCAAAUCACUGCAAACCCUCCUGGAAGCUCUGCAUGAUGCAUGCACCAGCUCUAAAAAGGGACCAUUAGAAAGACACCUCUUUUAGAAAGUGCUCUUAUAGUGAGUACAACAAAAUUAUUUCUUCAGGUUCCAGUGCAAAAUGGGUGGCUACAAAGCAUGUGCACAGAUUUAUGGAGACACAAUACAAGGAGGGGGGUGGUAAUAAUAACCUUUUUCUGUCACCAGAGAGUCUGCACAAAGAUUCCAGCAGCAUUUUGCACAGUGUGAGAAAAAGUGUGUGAAACCCUCAGCAUCAGUGGAGGUUCAAAGUGAAACAGAAUCAAGCAGAAUAAGGUACCCAUAAAGAAAAUAAAUAGCUGAAUGAUAUUAAGGAAGCCAAGAGAACUGAAAAAAUUAACAGCACCAUGGCUUAUGGAGUCUGCUUCUGCUAACAAAGGCAAUCUUUAGCACCCAGUGUCUCCAUUCAGUCUGAGAAGACUGCACUGACCAAAACAGGGAAAGUACGGGUUUACAAUGGUAAUUUGAAACUUGAAGUCAAGAUCUCUGAGCUCUGAUCCCUCCAUAAAAAGAGAGGCUUCCAGUCUCUGCCAGCAUCCCAGUGCUGGAGGAUGCCUGGCUGCCUGUGGCACAGGGAGCCAGCACGACAUGGACUGUCUGUGGGAAGGCAGGAAGGGAUUUCCUGGGAAGACUCCCCCUUUAGGAGUCUGGCCCUGGCAAGGCUGGGUUUGUGACACUUCCCAUCCCUAAGGGACCAAAGGCACAGGCCCAAAGCCCUCCCAAAGCUACUCAGUCCAAAAUGGAGUGGUGGAUGAAGUCUGCCUUCAGCCUGAAAUAUCCACGGACCUCUAAAAUCAAACCCCAAAGGUUUUGUGUUCAACUCUUGCAUCUCCAUAUGAACUAUAUUCUGGAGACUUUUCCCAUGGAAGUCUCCUGCUUGUAUCUGAGGCUGAAACCAGAUGAGACAAAAGUAUUUAUUUUGCAGGGGUGCUUUUUAUGUUUUUACCAUUCACAGCUACACAUUUGUCUUCAAAAGCAAAGGUCAGUGGGUCACUAAGUCCAGAAUAAUAAAAAACAGAAUUGCAGAAAAGGAGGUUUAGUGAAGAUGAGGGAAAAAAUUAUUAUAUUUGUUUUUAAACUUGUUUUUUAUGAUCCAUAUCUCUUACAUAGACCAAAGUUUUAAAUCAAGUAAAUGAAACCCUAUCAGAAUUCACCUUUGAGCACGGGGCAGAGGUAGAGAUGGCUCCAGAGGUCACUGUGCUACUGCAGCAGCCAGCAGGAGCCAGUGUAAUUUCCUUUAAAUUCAGAACGUGUGCUGACAGCACAGGCCCAUCUGCUCACCCUUGGCUGAGAGUCAGGUUGCACAAGUAACACAAAGAUGCAGCUCCUCUUCUGCUCUGAUUGUUUUGUCCCUUCAGAUGCCUCCAAGAAUUUGUCAACUGCCCAAAAGGUUUCUAACAAUCUGAGAAAAUAGGCAAUGAAUACAGGGGGACAGAGAGGCAGAUUAAAAAAGGAGGAGAAAAGCCAAUAGUUUGGGAUGGAUGGAUGGAUGGAUGGAUGGAUGGAUGGAUGGAUGGAUGGAUGGAUGGAUGGAUGGAUGGAUGGAUGGAUGGAGGCAGGCUCUGGUGGAAAGGCCAGGAUGUUACUGAGCUGGGGGUGGAAAGGCAGUGAUGGUGAUUGUUGUAUCAAUAUGCACUUGGAGCCAUGCAGAUAUCCUGAUGGACCUUCAAACGUUUUGGGCAGUUCUGUGGUGUUUGCAUCUGCUGUGAACAAGCCCAACUCAUUCCCCAUAACUGCUCCAUGUGCCACAGAAGAGGCAGUGUCCUUCAUUCAUCCUUGUUCUGUGCUGCUUGGAAAUCACAUUCCAAGGUGAGGAAUUCUUUGUGUCUUACAGUGCUACAGCUUGGCGGCACCAAACUGGCUGAGUAUAAAGUAUUUCAGUGCAGUAAUUAGCACGGCUUUGUUCAAAAAGGUUUUUUCUGCAGAGGAUAUGAUGUAUAGAUGACCACAAGUAAAGAAGAAAAAAUAAUAUUAAUACCUUAUUUUUAAGGAGGGAAAACACACAUGGGAAGCAGAGUAACAGUUCUGAUCAAUAAGGGACAGAGAAAAUGUGUGACAAAAGAAUUCAGCAGAAAGUCACUUUUGGCAAGUGAGAGAGGCAGAGACAAGCGAGCAAAGGCCCUACAGACACUGGGAUGUGGAUGUUGAAAACUGAACCAGUGAAGAAAUAAACAAGGGUAGGUGUAAACAUGCAGGAUUUGGAUGUGGAGCUAUCAGAGUUUUGAGUUAAAGUUCCAUCUCACCAUGCAAGCUGGGCAGGAGUUGGUGUGCAUGUGAGUUCAGCCUUCCAUGGACAGAAACAAAGGGAAUAAAGAGGACUCUGUCUCUUUGAAGCAUUUGGGAUGCACCCUGUGGUGCUGAGGAAUAAAAAUAAGGAAUUUCAAGGUAUCAUUAUGAUUAAAUGAAUGGAAGUAGUAUGGAAGGGUUUUAAUUUGCAGCUUAAUUUUACAAAUGAAACAACAAAUACAAAACUGCAGAGGUGGGGGAGGUUGUUUGUAGGGUUUUUGUUUGCUUUAGAAAGGAUAUUUUCUUUCCCCCAGUUUGGGCUACAGAUGGGUCUUGUGGGAUUUGUUUUCUGACAUACAGGAGAUAUUCAGGCUUUCAGAUUUCAUUACCACUUUCUUCAUUGCUGUGCCUUGAGGAGCUAUAAAUAACACAUGGCUAAUUUGUGAAUAUGGCACAUUCUAGGGGAUGUGUGUAUUUUAACCAGGGCACCUUCUGACAUUUGGUAAUUGGUUUGCAGAUUUGUUAUAUAAUUUCAUGAGCAUUAAGUUGCUAAGAGGAAAAAAAAUCUAAAUUUAUAUGAUCCAAAAUCUGCCCUCAUUGCACCCCUACAGCAGCUGUGUUCCUUCCAGGUCUGAGGACAGAUUUUAAAGUCAACGAGCACAUCAGCUGGCAUCUCUUUUUUCAUUUCUUGCAGUUUUAGUAAAGCAGUAGUUACAUUCUUCACAGCAUCUUUCUUUUAAUUAAAGUUUUUCUCUGUGUGUGUAUAUCACUGAACAGCUCCUAAGAUGCAGGCAGAUUUUGUCUGUUGAGAAAUGAGGUUUUGUUGGAAGGUGCCUGUUUGUUAUUGGGUGUGUUUACUUUCUUUAGAGCAGUGAGAAGUUUUAUUGUUUAAUAUUGUUUGGGUUCUAUUGUUUAAUAAACAGGUUUCUUUCCACUUUUUUCUCCAAGGAGAUAUUUUCUCCUGAACCGGUUAGAGGGGGAGGAGCAAUUGAAUCUGCUUUUGUAGAGAAGCCCCUUUGGUGGUUAUCUCCCAAACUUGCCCUAAACCAGGACAGUUGGUUAGAACAAGUCACGUGCCACUGGCAUUUCUGCAGUUGGGCACUGAGAAUAUCUGCAGGCAGCUGCUCAUGUACUGCCUUCCCUUAGCUCCCCAUACCAAAUUCGCUUUAUUUCCAAAACCAGCAGGCUCUCAGGCUGUCUUGUCAUCCUGCUGUCCUGGAGCCUGGGCACCAGUCCUUGGAAACGGGCUGGGGAGUGAUUUGAGGCUUUGUGUGAGAAGAAGCACCUGUCUGAAAUAACACAUGGGAUAUGGAUUAAUACAGAAUGUUGCUGCAGUGUGAUGUCAUGGCUUGCCUCAGUUCCCUUGGCUUCUCCCUGAAAUUUCCUUCCCCAGGUGGGCUGUCAAUCACCUCUCCUUUUCCCCACCCUUGACCACUGCUGGGCACUGCUUAUCAACCCAGAAAUUCCAAGGAGAAUGUCGAGCAAUUGGCAGGUUCAAAGGAUGCUCUCCACCCCCUGGAGGGCCAUUGGCCCACCCAGGUGUCCCUCUCACCUGAGACCCCCUCCCCCUGUGCCUGGUUGGUGCUCCCUGUGUUCCCUCCCCUGCCCCUCUCCCCAGGUAAAAGGACAAGCAGACCACGAGGUGGGGGUCUGGUGGAGAGUUCUGGUGGGAGGGUUCAGCAGGUUGUUGCAAGAUUCAGAGGCCGUGCCACCAAAAUAAAAACUCUGGAUUAAGAACUCUCCAUCAGGACCCAGUUCUUUCUUCACCUCAAAGGUUUCUCCAGCUCAGGAAGGCCUGAGGAGUGCCCCCCUCAGCAGCAAGCUCCAGCUGUAAGCUCUGGAGUUCAGGGCAUGCCCGACUUGUCCCCACGUGCCCAGCUGUGACCACAGGCACUGAACAGUGUCUCUGGGGAGGAAGGACCACGGGUGCUGCUAUUUGGUCAGCAGCCAAGGCCAGACAGACCAAGGCAGUCCUGUCAGUAAUAUUGGCAAACUCCAAUAGAACGUUAUCUUCCAUUUUUUGUAUUGCUGGAAUCAAAGUACAGAGAAACGGAACAUUUACCUGAUUUCCAAGCUGAGUUGUCAGUGUUUGUUUUCCCCCUUGCACAGGAGAAGACAGCUCUGUCUGCAUUUCCCAAGCGCCCUGGCUGCCCUGGCUGUGCCAUUCCCACCCGGCUUCAGGGCAGCUGCUGCUGGGGGAACGCUGCGGCUGCCAGAGCUGGGACUGCUCAUUGCUGUCCCUGCUCCUGGGACAAAGGCACCAUCAGCUGGGAGGGGCUCCUGGCAGGAAUCCCUGCCUUGCAGUGACCCAGCUGUCAGAAACGGGCCCUGCUUUGGAGCAGCCAUGGCUCUGUCCCCCACUUGCAGUCAGGCCUGGGUCAUGCCGCCAUUUUGUGUCAGACUUUGGCAUCACUCUGCCAUUUUGCGUCAGGCCAUGGUCACUCUGCCAUUUUGUUGCAAACCAUUAGUUACUCCAUCAUUUUUUGUGUGGACAGAGGCUGAAUAAGGCUCAAGGGCUGAGGUGUCUUGUAAGACACAGAACAUCCUAGAGCUGCUUCCCCAGCUUUCCUUUGGCACACACCUGCCAUGUUUUUGCUUCCCAAGUGAUAACAUUCUUUACAAGCAUGUUUUUCUGCAGUUUCUGUAACUUUUGGACUUGAAUCCUGGCAUGGGAACAGUGAAUGGCCUAGACACUGAAGUGAGGUCCAUGAUCUGGGAACCUGCACAGGGAUGUGUGGGCACUGGGGACUUGUAACCUCCAUGCUAUCAGCUGUGGAUGAUGGAUAAGAUCAGACAGUUGGGGGGUGGGGAGAGAGGAAAGCAGAUCAGCCUGGAUCUGGAAUUCUGAGGACUUCUCUGCUUCCAUUACAUUUUUCAAGUUCUUCUACUUAACCAGUGCAGAAUUAGCACAUUUAGAGCUGAUGCCUUGUAAAAAAAGAAAUAUGGUAGAAGUCCACUAAAAUGUCGCAAUUUCAUCUUCCUGAUCUGGGUCUGGUUUUGUUGCAGCACGGAUCCCAUCAUCCCGAGCUGCAGCACUGAGUGCAAAGGUGAGAUCUGCCUGCCUGGCCAAAUGUCCCUGCUGUCCAUGCGUGGCUCUGGCUGCCCUGCAUGUGAAGAGCACAGCCACUGUGGCUUGUUUUGACAUUUGAAAUGCUGAGCACCUGCCAGAGAUGCUGCCGUGUGUCACUGCAGCAGGGACUGAGGCAGCUUGGGCUGCAGGAGGCUGCCUCAGACCAGGCAAGGCACCAAAAUCCUGCGUUUCCAGAGCUUCACCUCUGCUGGCACGUUGGAAACCCUCAGAGGCUCCAGCUUGUAUUUGCCUUCUGCAGAAUGCUGCUGGAAUUGGAGGACAUUUUACAUCAGUGCAUCUACCCCUGAGCCAGGGGGAGGGAUGAGGGUGCCUGGAGCACUCGUGUUGCUGCAGGGCAGGGACACAGAAGGGGCUCUCUCAUUCCCACAGGGAAGGUGAGUGACUGCAGUGCUGUGCAGUAUUAGCCCAAGAGAAGUCACAGUUAUUUUCCUGUUGCUACAUGGAGAUCCUUGAACGUGUCUGGAGCCCGUGGCUUGGGAACAAAUGGUGUUUUUUCAGGUAACAGCUUUCCUGCUGAGCCAAGCUCCUGGCUGCUGUUGAAUUCUGGAGCCAGGCCCUGCUCCCUUGGACUGAAGUGUGCUGCAGCCCUGCCAGCAGUGUGGGAGCCAUCAGCUCUCCCAGAUCCUGGUAUGUGUGGGCACGUGGGGCUCUUCCCAGAGGCUGUUUCUUCCGUACCAGGGGCUCCCUCAGGCUCCCUGUGAUGUGCUUCUUCCCUCAGGAGGGUGUCCCCUUCAGAAGGUGCUUCACUGCAGUGCAGACAGGCCUUUUCUGGGCACACUGCUGUUACACUGGCUCUUGGUCCCUGCUCACAGGGUUGGGGUUGGUUUUUAAUGAGUCCAGAGAAAUUCCAUUAAAAACGUCAGUCUGGGUUUUCUCUUGAGGAAAAGGCACUGUUGAUAACAAUGCUUUGGAAACUGUUUUUGUCAGUUUUUUUCACCUUUGAAGAUGUCCAAGCAGUCACUGAGGAGUUAUCCUGGGCUGGCCUCAGCUGUGCAAUGCUGGAACUUGAAAUACUGUGGGGUUUGGUACUUUUUACUGCAUGUGGCCAUAAAACAGAGACUUUCCCAUAAAGUAGAUUAAGGAGGAUCUUUGAUACUUCCAUUCAAAGAACAGCUCUUCCAGAGGGUGAGCAUUAACAAGAUGGUAGUGUCACAUUUUCAUGACAGGGUUCUGACUGAGCAGAUCAUUAGGGAGAAAGGAUCAAAGCCACUUCCUCCUGUAACAUUUCAGGUGGACGUGAGUGUGGCGCUGGCAACCAAGCUCAAGUAGCAAACUCCACAGGAGGGGAAGCUCACUCCUCCCACCCAUCCAUCCUUUAAAUUUCCUUCCAGUGAGUCACAAACUUCUGGAGUUUCAAAGGAGUUAUGUUUUAAUCCAACUUCAAGGGCUGAUAUAGCUCUGAUGAGAGACCUGGACAUCAGAAGAGAUGUUAGCUGUCCUUCAUUGCUAGGGGGCAAGACCCAAAUACCGUGUUAAACAAUUAAGUGUUUAAUUCUUACUGGCUUUCUGGUAAUCGCCUUGGUCUGGAAUUGCUUUUGGGUUUUUGUAAGCGUUACUUAUCUAACAAAAAAAAGAAUAAAUGGCCUAAACAUUUUUAGCCAGUGCAGUAAAUCAGGAAGUUUUACUAAAGUAGAUUGGUAAUUUAUUUAAUUCUAAUUUAUUCACGUAAUUAAAAAUUCUAAAUUUUACCAAAUUAGAAAGCUGAUGUAAUGUGUAAACCUCCUCUGCUCUGUGUCUACAGGUAGGACACUCCGUGCUUUCUCCCCUGGCUACAGAAUAUGUAGCCUGGAGCCCGAAGGCACAGGGAGCUCUUAGAUCCUGGUCUCAGGGUGUUCUCAGGCAGGAGAGGCCCUUCCACUGCUCCAUGAAAUCUGUUGAACUUGUUGGAUUGCCAUCACUCACAUUGAUCUCUGAGUGGGAGCAGCUCCUGUGCAGCUCAAAGGCAGCAAGAGCUGCACCCAAGCUCCCUCAGAAGGGUGAGGCUGGCGAGUGGCAUUCCACAUGGAGCUGGCUGCUUGUGGCUCACCUUGGAGCUCCCAGCUCUCCACAGAUCCAUCACUUCUCCUGUGGUGGGUGACACUCCUGAUCUGGGCAGCACUCGGAGACUGACGGCUGCAGCCCAGGAUGGUCCCUUCCUACCUCGGGAAAACAUUCCACAGGAGGGCAGCACGUUCCCAGCUGGGUGGUGUGGCUCCACCUGGAUUCCCGCUGGAGGAUCCGUGACUCUCACACCGCUCACGUGGAGACCUGCCAAAGGAAAGCCUUGCACCUGCCAAUAACUUGUGAAGAGCGAGUCCUCAUUUCUGAGAUCCCUGCCAGGAACGGGAGAUUCACCAAGAGUUUCUAGGUUCCUCAGACAAUCAGAAAAUGCCCUGAGCCCCUUCUGCAAUGGAUGUCUUCCCGAGGAUGAUGUGUCACCACCUGAAGACUGAUCUCGGGAGGGACAAAUCACUUCUGCAGUGAGUCCUGGAGCUCCUCUUAACAAUCAGCAUUCCUGGUUCCCAGGGCUCUUCCUUUUCACUAAGGCCUAAACACACCAAGUCAUCCCUGCAUGCUCCCUGCAGUAUUUCCCUGUCUCAAGACAGACAAAAGGAUCAUCAAAACAUUCUGAAUUGAUUCAGCAUGAGGUAACAAUAGACGUUUUACCCCAAAGCACCAUGCCAAAGGCAGUGUCUGAUUGCCCAUUUCUGAGGGACUCCAGAGCAGGGCUCAGUGCCUUGUUGCAUCCAUUUAACUUGAGGUUCCUGGAUGGACUCCAGGGCCACAGGGGUCACUGACCAUGUGCUGUACAGGGGCUGAGUCUAAACGAUCUGGUCAUCUCGGGCCCAGAAAACCUCUUACUCUGCACCAUCCUGGGACCUUUUCCUGUGCCACUCAUCUGUCUGCACUCGGAAGAGGCUGGCACGUGGCUGAUUUUAUGGAGGGCAUGCUGCAUGUCCUGGGAUCAGCCUUGAUGUGCUGUGAUUCCUUCUGAAGUGGUUAAAGCCCUGCUAGAGACCCAGUCCAGGCUUCACUGGCCCUGGGAGGGGCCUCUCUCUUAGAGGCCCUUGCCCGGCUGCUCUGUCUGCAGCUGCUCAGCAAGCACGAGGCAGCGAUUACAGACAGGGCUGCCUGGCACCCAGCCUGUGCAGGGGAGGUGGGGAGAGAGAUUUCAGAGACACCAUUCACCAUCCACAGAGCACAGUAAAACACCUUCUCUAUUUCUCAUUUUAUUGGCGCUGUCUGCUCUCAUCUGGUGCCUGAGCAUUUUAUCUGUUCACACUGCUUUUUUCUAUGCAAUAAAAGCAUAGACAGGUUUUUGCACUUUCUUUAAAAUAUUUUGCCACAUUUAGAGGUAAAUCACAGCCACUUUGUGUGCUGUAUAUUUUCAGACUCAUUGGAGAUGGAAAUGCUUUGAUAGCAAGGGUGCUCUACAGGGUCCAGCCACGGCUGGACAGGAAAAGUCUCUUCCUCCCACCUUACUUUUCUUUGCUCUGGUAUAAACCUGUCCCUCUCUCCCCAUCGCUGGGAGUCAGGCAGCCACAUUCCUUCAUGCACAGUGAAGGAAAGAAGGAGAGGAAGAUCUGGCUCCCAGUCCCUCCACAGACAGAGUUUGAGUCAUUUACAUGAGGAAUUCAGCGAGCAGAGAUCUUCACUUUGAUCGGAUCUGUCUUGUCAGAAACAAGCUGACACUCUGGGCACCACAACAGAUCACAGCAACUACAACAAAAAGCAGCGCUCUGCCAGAGCUGCAGGCAGGAGUCUGCCAGGGAGAAUGAUGGAGCAAGAAGGGCGGUGCUCAACAGACAAAGGGGGAAGGAAGGAAGAGUGAGAAGUGUAAGAAACUGGAAGAGACUUGAAGGGACACAGCACUGUUUAAUGGGGCAGAAACUGAGAGACGAGUGAGCUGCAGCGCAGGGUGAUUUGCAUUCUUCCGAGAUGAUUUGUAAAAGGGGAAAAGUUGUAAAUGAAACACUUUGAUUCCCCUUUAUCUCACUCUGCCUGCACACUGGAGUCAUUGAUUUUAUGCAGUAACCUCUACUGAACAGUCAGGGCUGCAGCAUAAUUGUGUUGACCUGAAAUUAAGGCAAAAAGCUGCAUCUCUGGGAUUUGGAGCUCAUACUACCUAAUUGGCAGAAGGGCAAAAUAAAGAAGUAAAGAUGAAUUACAGCUUUUCAUGUCAUGUGAAAAAUCAAGGCUCAUGCAUCAGGGAACUUCAGAGCAAUCAGAUUCAUAUAAUUUCAGCCUAUGUCUCAAUCCUAAAAUUGCAUUAAACUCCCUGUUUCUAACUCUCAUUCAGUGGAGCUUAGAUGAACCUCAGAUUUUAGGUGUUGCCAUGAUAGGAGCUACAGGAAUUGAUUUCUUUGCAACGUCAAGUGCCAAAAAUGGCAAAUAGUGGCAGUUUUGGGGCUCUUUCUGUUUCCUGUCCCUUUUAUUCCUUUCUAUCCAAUGUGGCAGAAAUGCAAUCUAAUUGAGAAGCAAUAAGGCGACCUCCAUUGAGUUAGCAAGUGAGGGAAAAAACGUUAAUAUUUCAGGCUUUGAAGGAGCCAAUACCAGGAGAAAAACUGUGCCUGCAAUACAAGAGCCCAAAGUUAUCAACUAUCCCGAGAGAUGUUUUUACAAACCAACAAAGAACACAAAAAAAGAGCAUUUCUCUGGUCUGUGUCCCUAAGAUGGGAAACUGAAAAGCUGCGAGUAUGGAGCAGGUAGGAGCUGGCUGUCAGUGGAAUGUCAGCUUCCAGCAGAACAGCAAUAACUCAGGAGUCUCGGGAUGAGUCUCUGCUGCCUUGUUCACCGUGCAGUGUUUCACUCAAAGCCCAGAAGGAGCAGAGUUUCCAGCCAGGCACAGACACCACAUCAGGCUGUGCAGAAAGAGGAUUGCAGCAGAAAUGGGGCUUCACCAGAUCUAUCCAAGACCCAGAACUGACACCAGAUGAGGCUCAACUUGAAUAAUUGUCUCAGUUCCUUCUUUUGCCCUCUCACCCCAAAUAUGUUUGUAUUUUGCUUCAGCAUGCUUCUUUAAAUCCUCAGAGGAUCCAUCUUGGAAGCACUUCCAGGAUGGAAAUGUUCUGACCUUUAGAUGGUGACAGGUGAGGUGCAUAUUCUCAUGUUCUGUGUCAUUGACAGUAAUGGCAGUGCUUCUUUUUUUUUUUUUUUGGUGACCAGUGUAAUUUUUACAUGUUUGUGUCACUUCAGUAUAUAGUUACCCUCCCAUAAAACAGAAUGUAUGUGCCAGUGCUUUCAUUCCAGGGAUGCAGAUGCAGUACCACACAUUGAUAAGCACAUGACCCCCUUUAACCCAGUGUCUGCAGUGUCACCCAUCCAAACUGAGCAGUGCACAGUCCUCUGCAGCACGAGGCCAUGGAUUUACCAUGGAGGCAGGAGCCCACGCACGGCAGGACUGGGAAGGCAGCUCCUGUCUCCUGUGCUCAGGGCUGAUUCCUUUUCCAGAUCAGCUCUGUGCUGGACCUUCCUCUGCAGAUGCUGUGGCUGGUGCCACCUGACGUGUGGCAGCUCCUAAGGGGGAGUCUCCUCUGAUGAGGACUGCACAGCACUGCCAGUCGGCCCACCUAGCACUUGGACAAAAUGUGGGACUGAACUCCAGAGGUAGGAACCAGCUCUUCAUUAUUUCAUUGUCUGAAACUUUUUCCUCGGAGCGUGUUCAGGGAAGGAUGGGACACAGACCUUUUUACCUUUCUGGUUUUGUCUCUUUCCCUGGUACAUCAUAUCCACCCCUUCCAUAGCUGAACCAGCGGGUCUGUACUUUCUGAGAGGAAUUCAACAGCAAAAUGUUCAAUCUUUUGUCCCCCUAGAAACAGCACCAGUUUUUGGAGCAAUCCAUCUGAAAACAUUUCUGUCAAAUUUUCCUUUUAGUUCUUGAUCCUGUCAGACACAUCAGACUGACACAAACCCCCCUAAGUAACGUCCCCAGCCUCGGUGGAAUGGCUGAACUCUCUGAGCUCCAGCCUUGCACUAUUGCAUGAUUACACUGCAAUUACAGAUGUAAUUGUGGCAGGCUCUGGGCCACUGGCUCUGAAUCCUCCUGCUCAGGGCUGACCAUGGCAUUUGUCUGUACUUUCCUGUCCCUGGGGCUGAUCACUCCGUGCUUCCUAAGGGAGCAGGCGCUCAUUCUCCAGAGCUCCUUGGAGCUGAGGGUGCUUGCUCACACUGGGAGAGUUGGUGAGUGAGACUGAGUUAUGUCUGCAGGAGCAGGUGCGCUGCUGUGAUGGAAACUUCUGUUCCAGCACACCUCCUUACAGAGAGAAAUGAAGAGAGAAAAAGGAAAAGGAGUUAAAAGGCAGAAGGCAGCAUUUAAAUGCCAGUGUGGCAACCAAAGAGGUAAGGGAAUGAAGCCCCGAGAGGGGGGAGCAGAGGAAGGUCACUGCUGCCAGGGACAGCAACAUCAGGUGACCGCGAGCACAAAUCAAGAAUUCUGCAGCCAGGAGUUUUACUCUCACCCUUUGAUUUUUUUUAGCACAAUUGCAUUGCAGUUUAUCCUCGUGGCCAUUGGAAGGUUGGUCAGGGGCCAGACUGCCCUGAAGGGAGAACAUUUUAAUGUGUGCAUGCAGUGGCUGCUCAGAGGCACUGCCAGCAUCAGACCUGCUCAGAUCAGCUCUCUGUGCUGGGAUGACAGCAGCAAGCCAAGAGCCACCUGAGGAUCUCUUCCACCUGAGAUGCAAAUACCCUCUCCUCCCUUUGCCUGUGCAAUCCUAAAGCUGCCACGUACAUUCCCUACAUGGGGCUUGGACACUGCUCACACUCGGAUGUCACGGCAUUUUCUGUGCUUCCAGUGGCCAGGUGAGAACAUUUUGGCUUUAAGUAAGAAGAGACAUUUCCUAGGAACUGUGAGGAGCUGCUUCAGACACCAAACAAACGCUGACUGUACGUGUCUACCCUGGCAGAAAUCAGAGCUGACCUGAAGGUGCUUGCUAGGGAACGUGCCCAGGUUUACACCUGGGACACCAAGGGCACUUCCAGCCCCUUGUGCCUCCCUGCAGCAAAGCUGAUGUGGCACAGAGAGCACUCAGGCAAACUGCUGCUCCUGUUAAUCUUAGUUCUACAGAACUGAACCACCGGUAUCCCACAUUCUGCUUAACUUCACCUCCUCUGGAGUUUUUCUGGAGUGUGCUGCACUGCGUUUAUUUUCUGGACAGACUCAAUUUUGCUGGCACAGGAUGUAAAAAUAAAGAAAGCUGAUGACAGAAGAGCAGGAAACAAAUGACACUUGUCAAUGAUCAAUUUGGCAUUGAUCCUUGAAAAGAUGGACAAUUUUCUGCUCAGUAUAAAAGGCAUGUGUCUUCCUACCCAAAAGCUGUAAUUUACCUGACAUCUUCUACCAUCCUAAAGCAGAGCAGUAAGAUGCAGCCAGAAGCAGCAUGGAAAACCAGCCAGCCACAGCACAGCCUCUGCCCAACCCAGGGACGGGUCCAGAAUUGGCUCCUAAGAGAGAUCUGGAGAGUUUAAGGCUAAAAUCACCCUACUGUGAGGACUGGCCUGCUCUCUCCCAGCCUACAGCUCCCUUUUUAAUGGGAAUUCACUGGGCCAUGGCAGAAAAUUCUGUUUAGCAAGUAUUGACUUAUUUUUCUCCCCUGCCCAUGAACACCUGAUUGAUUUGUUUUAAUUCCUGAGUGCUUCCUGCAUCAGCAGCACUCUGUGGUACCACCUUCAGUGGGUUAAGGACCUCUCAUUUUUCAAACCAUCACAAGAUAACUCCAGCUGCUGACCCAAGUCCUUGAACUGAGGGAAACAGGGAACAAUUGCUCCUGGAGAUGUUCCUCAUCAAGAGCUGUGGGCCAUUUAUUCUUCCUGCUCCUUAUCCCAAUCAACCUUGCUCUCAAUCUUUGUAUCCAUGCUAAUUUUACUAUGCCAAACACUCCAGUUAAACCUGCAGUGCCACUGUGGGCAUACACAGAAUAAACUGAGUUGGUUCAGGGUUUUUUCAAAGUAUUUUUAAAUUCCUUUGUCUAUUUUCCAGCUCCAGAAACAAAGAUUAGAACAACACAAAGUACCUUUUUUGGAGCUCUUUUGCCAGUGAGGUCCUGCAAAGCCUGCUCUGUCUGGAGGGCACCUGUGCAGAUUCAGUUCUGCAGUCAGGGUCACUGACAGAGUAAUCCUAAGUGACUGGAACACUGGGCAUCUGCCUUGAUCCCCAAUAUUUCCCAGCUGUGACACUGAUCUAGUCUGUCUCAGCAAAGCUCGGGCUGAGCUGGUGACAGUCUCAGAAGUGCCUGUGGUGAAUCUCCCCAGUCCCUUCCCCAGAGCCCCCUCUCGGGCUCAGUGGAUAAAGAGCAGAUUAACCUAUCACGGAUACUCUCAUCUGUCAGAUGUGGCUGCCAAGGGCAGCUUUGACCUUUAAGGCAGGAAUGUGUCAGGUGCUGUCAAAAUGAAUCAGAAACUCAAACCAGAUGUGAUGCAGCCUUUCCACGACUGGAGAGAGAUCACUCCUCAUGCCCCCCAGAAGAUCCUGUUUUCUAGAAACAGCAGUGACAAACACCAAGAAAUCUCUGCUUUACUCAAAUAUAUUUUGGUGAACUUUACUGUACUUGCAAGGAGAGGUCACAAUAAAACAAUGAGUGGUGCAGACAAAGCUCUCUGCCCUGGCAAAGGGACCCGACCUUCUGCAGCUCUGUCACCUCAGCCCUGGAAGAUUCCAGCCUUGGCACUGAGGAUUGCUGUGUGCCUCGGAGAGUUUGUCAGGUGAGCUACAGGAACUGGCAGGGAAAAGCUCUGCUUGCUCAGGAAUCACCGAGUUCCACACACCCUCAGGUUCCUGUGGACAGAAUCUGUUUCUCCAGGAACUGAAAGACUGAGCCUCUCCUUUUAUACAGGAAGCAGCACUUGCUCUUCCUCCAUUAUGUGGUGCUUGGGCAGGGCAUAGGUUUGAAAAUUCCCUCACAGAGUAUUUCUAGAAAAGAAUCUAUGAGAGACUGAAAUACCAGUGGUGAGGUUUUACCUCAUAUCAUCACCCAUCAUGAUCAAAUGGAAUGGUGAAAGGCCUGGCCUUGUCUAUCUGACUAAUUACACCCCUCUUCCAAAUUUGCUGAGUGAUCAUCUACUGUUUCCUGCUUUGGAUGAUCAAGCAUUUUAUUGAUAAAGCUCACGCAGCAUGGUUCAGAAUCACAGAGAAAUUCAAUGUCAAAUCUGAAAAUUGAAUAGGUGUCCCACAAACACCAAUCACAUACCUCCUCAUCCAACCAAACCAUGCUCCCAAGACAAUCCUCUGCCCAGGAAUAAAACAGGAGCCCCACUCCUGGAGAGGGUCAGCCCUCAGCCCAGGGCUAGCUGUGAAUUCCUCUAAUGGAACACAAAACCACAGGGACUGAUUUUCACCUACACCCAAAUUCACAGCUCUUGGGAAGGCCUGAGCUACUGACAAAUAAUUCCAACUUCUGGCACUGAUUGUGGUUCUAAAUGAACACCACAUCCCACACAUGCACAACCACCCCCCUUUGUCUGCCUGCUGCCCCUGCUCUGACUCUGGGCCAAGCACAGAAGAUGCAGGAUGGAGUUUUCUGAGCAGGAAAGGCCAGAGGAUGUCCCUGCAUCCUCAGUGAGUCAGAGUGGUGAGAUGGAGAUCACUGCAGCAUUGUGGCACUCACACAGAGCCAGGUCACCUCUGCCUGCUCAAACUGCUUCGGUCACAGCACCACUCCCAGCCCUAUUUGCUGAAAACCUGGCACCAGAGCUCACCACAGCUGGAAGAGCAGCCUGCCCUCUUCCUGCCUACCUGGAUUCCUCCCACGAACCACUGCAACAGCAGGGUCCUUGGCCCGUGCUGUUUGAAUCUUUGCUAACUGCAGCUGUCUCAAAAAUAAAUCAGAACACAGAAUAUUCUCCUUCCAAACCUGCAGCUACAAAAUAUUCUGCUGUAGGAAGCAGAGGCACCAAACAAAAGCACUGACUCAGCAGCCACUGGAGUUAGGGCAAAGUUGUGACAACAGGAAGGAAAACGAGCACCAAGAUUUUUUGAAGACAAACAUCUCAAAGCUCCAUCCUGUACACGGUUGCCCUCGCUGAUGCCAUGUUGGGGAACACAUCCCUGCUCCCAGAGGCGCAGAAGGGAUCAGCGGCAGCGCUGCCGGA